This 449-nucleotide ribosomal RNA is filed under the name uncultured bacterium. RNAcentral's name for it is "partial 16S ribosomal RNA". It matches the Rfam family "Bacterial small subunit ribosomal RNA", at positions 29 to 523 of the family's 1533-position model. The record is from RNAcentral.
AACGAACGCUGGCGGCAUGCCUAACACAUGCAAGUCGAACGAGACCUUCGGGUCUAGUGGCGCACGGGUGCGUAACGCGUGGGAAUCUGCCCUUGGGUUCGGAACAACAGUUGGAAACGACUGCUAAUACCGGAUGAUGACUUCGGUCCAAAGAUUUAUCGCCCAAGGAUGAGCCCGCGUAGGAUUAGCUUGUUGGUGAGGUAAAAGCUCACCAAGGCGACGAUCCUUAGCUGGUCUGAGAGGAUGAUCAGCCACACUGGGACUGAGACACGGCCCAGACUCCUACGGGAGGCAGCAGUGGGGAAUAUUGGACAAUGGGCGAAAGCCUGAUCCAGCAAUGCCGCGUGAGUGAUGAAGGCCUUAGGGUUGUAAAGCUCUUUUACCCGGGAUGAUAAUGACAGUACCGGGAGAAUAAGCCCCGGCUAACUCCGUGCCAGCAGCCGCCGCGG